UUAUCUGUUGAAUUUUUCUAAAUAAUAAUAAUAAAAAGGAACAAUUUAUGUUUCAAGAUAUGUUGCAAUGAUGCCAUGUGUACUUCGAUAGCUGGUUCUUUGCAAUAUCAUGUAGUUUAUAUUGGGUAGUAUAAAACCACUAUCCAAAAAAAUUAAAACCUAUUCAAUAAUUUAAAUUUUAAUAUUUCUCACUACGUGUAUGUGACUGAUAUUACAUACGAAACGUGUCACAAAGGAGGAUAAAAACAACAGGCACAUGUCACGCUCGUCGUGUCAAUGGUCCACUCGUCAAUAGGGGGCGGUAAAUGCACUUAUUUGUGUAAGAUCCUACGUAACACAAGAAGACGACGUCACCUCUAGCGUCAUCAGUCAGCGUGGGUCUCCCGAGACUCGUCCUGAGUGAGCUGCAAACAGUCUGGAGAAUGGCUCCCAGGCUGUUGAGAUGCUCUGUUGUUGGCUUUAAGGAUGAACAUGGCUGCCGUCACUUAGUCCCGACAUCUGAGCCGCUGAAGACGCAGUGGAUUACCUUUUUGUUUUUGAAGGGGCACACAAACACAUCAGGGUGCCCCUGAUCUACCUAAAUGUGUUUGUGUGCUCAUCAUUUUACACAAGACUGCUUUGUAAACGAGGGUCAGUACAAAGCAGGAUUUGCUACAAAAUUGAUCCUGAGGGAUGGAAACCAACUGUGUGUUAUCCAGCUUCACCUUCAGCAGAAUCAAGCUCGUCUAAAGAAUGGGCCAAGGUGCAUCAUGUGGCCUGUCAGACUGACACAACACAACUCUGCACAGUUGCCACCCAGCUGUCAAUAAAAACUCUACGGCAGGCUGAAGCUAAACUAUGCAGGAUAGUGGCCCUCCAGGAUUGGAGUUGCCUAUCCCUGCUCCAUGUCCUCACUACAAAAGCAGAGGCAUUUCAGCUCAAAUAUCGUUUGCUAAGUGCUGCCAGCUGCUUCUCCACACCAGUAAAUUUAAGAUCUGGGAUCUCCCAGCUUCCAGUCAUAAUUCUAACAGGUAUGUUACUUUUUUCCAUUUCGUACUAUAAAUUGGUAACCCGUUUCGUCUGUUUCCAAGUCAGCUUCUACAUUUUUCUCAUCAUUUCUUUCUUCCAGCUGUCCUGA
RNAcentral lists this long non-coding RNA (1117 nucleotides) under Carassius auratus (goldfish). RNAcentral's name for it is "lncRNA (ENSCARG00000016781.1)". Lineage: Eukaryota; Metazoa; Chordata; Actinopteri; Cypriniformes; Cyprinidae. The record is from RNAcentral.